AUACGUAGGGGGCUAGCGUUAUCCGGAAUUACUGGGCGUAAAGGGUGCGUAGGUGGUUUCUUAAGUCAGGAGUGAAAGGCUACGGCUUAACCGUAGUAAGCUCUUGAAACUGGGAAACUUGAGUGCAGGAGAGGAAAGUGGAAUUCCUAGUGUAGCGGUGAAAUGCGUAGAUAUUAGGAGGAACACCAGUAGCGAAGGCGGCUUUCUGGACUGUAACUGACGCUGAGGCUCGAAAGCAUGGGUAGC
RNAcentral lists this ribosomal RNA (246 nucleotides) under uncultured bacterium. Its description in RNAcentral is "partial 16S ribosomal RNA". It matches the Rfam family "Bacterial small subunit ribosomal RNA", at positions 523 to 769 of the family's 1533-position model. The record is from RNAcentral.